Molecule: long non-coding RNA, 466 nt
Filed under: Salmo salar (Atlantic salmon)
Lineage: Eukaryota; Metazoa; Chordata; Actinopteri; Salmoniformes; Salmonidae
Description: lncRNA (ENSSSAG00000091690.1)
Source: RNAcentral
UGGUAUUAUCAUCAUCUCUCUCUGUUAGGGGGUUGGUAUUAUCAUCAUCUCUCUCUCUCUGUUAGGGGGUUGGUAUUAUCAUCAUCUCUCUCUCUGUUAGGGGGUUGGUAUUAUCAUCAUCUCUCUCUUUUAGGGGGUUGGUAUUAUCAUCAUCUCUCUCUGUUAGGGGGUUGGUAUUAUCAUCAUCUCUCUCUGUUAGGUGGUUGGUAUUAUCAUCAUCUCUCUCUGUUAGGGGGUUGGUAUUAUCAUCUCUCUCUGUUAGGGGGUUGGUAUUAUUAUCUCUCUCUCUCUGUUAGGGGGUUGGUAUUAUCAUCAUCUCUCUCUCUGUUAGGGGGUUGGUAUUAUCAUCAUCUCUCUCUGUUAGGGGGUUGGUAUUAUCAUCAUCUCUCUCUGUUAGGGGGUUGGUAUUAUCAUCAUCUCUCUCUCUGUUAGGGGAUGGUAUUAUCAUCAUCUCUCUCUCUGUUAG